AACGAACGCUGGCGGCAGGCCUAACACAUGCAAGUCGAGCGAGACCUUCGGGCUAGCGGCGGACGGGUUAGUAACGCGUGGGAACGUGCCCUUCUCUGCGGAAUAGCCACUGGAAACGGUGAGUAAUACCGCAUACGCCCUUCGGGGGAAAGAUUUAUCGGAGAGGGAUCAGCCCGCGUAAGAUUAGAUAGUUGGUGGGGUAAUGGCCUACCAAGUCUACGAUCUAUAGCUGGUUUUAGAGGAUGAUCAGCAACACUGGGACUGAGACACGGCCCAGACUCCUACGGGAGGCAGCAGUGGGGAAUCUUAGACAAUGGGCGCAAGCCUGAUCUAGCCAUGCCGCGUGUGUGAUGAAGGUCUUAGGAUCGUAAAGCACUUUCGCCAGGGAUGAUAAUGACAGUACCUGGUAAAGAAACCCCGGCUAACUCCGUG
Molecule: ribosomal RNA, 432 nt
Filed under: uncultured bacterium
Lineage: Bacteria
Description: bacterial SSU rRNA
Rfam family: Bacterial small subunit ribosomal RNA
Source: RNAcentral